RNAcentral lists this long non-coding RNA (664 nucleotides) under Bos indicus x Bos taurus (hybrid cattle). RNAcentral describes it as "lncRNA (ENSBIXG00005017676.1)". Lineage: Eukaryota; Metazoa; Chordata; Mammalia; Artiodactyla; Bovidae. The record is from RNAcentral.
ACAGGGUUGUGUUUCCUGGCCACCAAAUGGCUGUGCCCUGCAGCCACUCAGCUGUAUCCCAUGCUGGGCCACUGGUGAAAGUUGCUCAGUCGUGUCCGACUCUUUGCAACCCCAGGACUAUACAGUCCAUGAAAUUCUCCAGGUCAGAAUACUGGAGUGGGUAGGCUUUCCCUUCUCCAGGGGAACUUCCCAACCCAGGGAUCGAACCCAGGUCUCCCACAUUGCAGGCGGAUCCUUUACCAGCUGAGCCAUAAAGGAACCCCAUCAAACCUUUAUUCGGAACUGAUUGUGUUUAAAAUAGGGUUCCACCAGGGUGACGUGGGAUGUGGUAUUAACCUCUCAGAUUCCAUUGCUUCAUCCCUUACACGGGCUUGAUGAUGUCUUCCUCAUAGGCAGAUGGACCCCAGUGAACUAUGCAACACAGCCAGCAUCCAUGGCCAUUGCUUCCCUGCCUUCAACUACAGGGAAAUGGAAUGCGCAUUCACAAAAUGCGACUGUGUCUCACAAGAGAACUCCUGAGGAGCCUCAGUGCCCUCAGCCUGCAUUUGUGGAGUCUGAACUGGGUCCACAGCUGUUCUGCCUCAGUGUGGGGCCAAGGCUAACAAAAAGCAAAGCCUCUGGAAGAAGAGGAAGUGUUCUCUGGAUGCUGAAUGGGAGACCUUGA